Molecule: ribosomal RNA, 497 nt
Filed under: uncultured bacterium
Lineage: Bacteria
Description: partial 16S ribosomal RNA
Rfam family: Bacterial small subunit ribosomal RNA
Source: RNAcentral
GAUGAACGCUGGCGGCGUGCCUAAUACAUGCAAGUCGAGCGAACAGACGAGGAGCUUGCUCCUCUGACGUUAGCGGCGGACGGGUGAGUAACACGUGGAUAACCUACCUAUAAGACUGGGAUAACUUCGGGAAACCGGAGCUAAUACCGGAUAACAUGUUGAACCGCAUGGUUCAACAGUGAAAGACGGUCUUGCUGUCACUUAUAGAUGGAUCCGCGCCGCAUUAGCUAGUUGGUAAGGUGACGGCUUACCAAGGCAACGAUGCGUAGCCGACCUGAGAGGGUGAUCGGCCACACUGGAACUGAGACACGGUCCAGACUCCUACGGGAGGCAGCAGUAGGGAAUCUUCCGCAAUGGGCGAAAGCCUGACGGAGCAACGCCGCGUGAGUGAUGAAGGUCUUCGGAUCGUAAAACUCUGUUAUUAGGGAAGAACAAAUGUGUAAGUAACUAUGCACGUCUCGACGGUACCUAAUCAGAAAGCCACGGCUAACUACGUG